GGUCUAUGAAAAACUUAGGUCUUGUAAGGUGGUGACCUUACAAGGUACUAGCCCUGGGCUGCCUACCUCCAGACUUUUUAUUAUGUGAGAAAAAUAAAUCUCUAAGUUACUUGUUAAGUUAAAUGCCUGUUUAAGUUAUUUGGUUAGGUUUUUUUUUUUUAAUUUCAUACCCCAAAUCAUUCCUAAAUUAUAUGCAUAUGGCCUCUUCUCAGCCCUCAAAUGAAUUUGACUUCUUACAGUUUUAGACGCCUCAGUGCUUUCAAGGCUCUACUCAGCUCUCUGCAGGUGAGGCCUCGUUCCUAUUUUACGAAAUGGGACCGUGAAACACACACGUGAUUUUGCCACCCACAAGACACCAUGAGCAUUUUGUAAAAUAAAACCAACACCGGUAAUAAUGUUGCAUGAUUCCACCGGACCUCAUCUCCUUCCUCAUUUUUUACCCACUUCCCAGAGGCCACAGCUUUCGUGAGAUGUAUGUGUUGCUUUCCAGGUCUUUCAAAACAUUUUAUAUAUAAAUUUACAUACAAUGAAGUAUUUGUGUGAGUGCAUACAAUUAUUUAAUCUACAAAUAGGGAUGAUUUCAUCUCAUUUUGGCUAAUACUUAUCCCCCCUUUUUUUUUCUCUUAUUGCAUUAAUUAAUUAGAUCACCAAUGCAAUCUUAAUUAGUAGAAAUAUGGCAAGCAGUCUGGCCUUAAAACCAACUCUACUGGCAAUACUUCUGAUAUUUUGACAUAAAGAUGAUGCAGCGUAUAAGUCUUAUCAAGCUAGGGAAGUUUCUUUUUAUUCCUAUUUGCUAAGAGGUUUUUUUGGUUUUUUUGUUUUGUUUUGUUUUGUUUUGUUUUGUUUUGUUUUUCCCAGUCAUGAAUGGGUAUUGAAUUUUACUAAGCCCACUCGGUAAAUAUUUCAUUUCAGUUAUGGUACAUUGUACAUUUAUUUGAUAAUAAUGGCUACUGUCAAUAUUUUAUAAAACUAUUUCCUUAAACAUGUAAUGUUUUCGAUCAUGACAUUUUAGAGUUUUUAACGCUUGAUAAGCAUUUGUUAAAGCAUUUAAAUUUUAGAUUGCCAUCACUUGGCUGAUUUGGCAAUUGGUCUCCAAGACUCGUUCUGAAGGAAGGCGACGGCCACGUCAUGAGAAUAUUCAAGCAACCCUCUGUGGAGGCCCAUGUGAAGAGGCCACUUCUCAGCCAGUGACCUCCAGAGCUGUGAAGAAGGCGACCUGCUGUUUCAGACGCUCGGUCUGUGCUCCUUCUUUAUAGCAGCCCUAGCAAUCUCAUCUAGUGAGCCACCUUCGAAAUGGACGCUCGGUCCCAGUCCAGCCUUCGGAUGACUGUGACUCAUGAGACACCUGGAGCCAGAACCGUCCAGCUAAGCUCCCCCGAAACUCCGGACCCACACAGUGUGAAUUAAUAAAGGUUUGUUCUUGUUUUAAGUCA
Molecule: long non-coding RNA, 1433 nt
Organism: Neofelis nebulosa (Clouded leopard)
Lineage: Eukaryota; Metazoa; Chordata; Mammalia; Carnivora; Felidae
Exons: 2
Source: RefSeq, a predicted model, not a curated record